This 413-nucleotide ribosomal RNA is filed under the name uncultured bacterium. RNAcentral's name for it is "bacterial SSU rRNA". It matches the Rfam family "Bacterial small subunit ribosomal RNA", at positions 28 to 448 of the family's 1533-position model. The record is from RNAcentral.
GAUAAACGCUGGCGGUGUGCUUUAUGCAUGCAAGUCGAACGGUCCCGAUUCGUCGGGAUAGUGGCAAAUGGGUGAGUAAUGCGUAAGUAAUCUACCCCUAAGUGAGGGAUAACUCUGAGAAAUCGGAGUUAAUACCGCAUGUGAUGGUGGAGGUAAUGCUCCAUCAUUAAAGCCUUCGGGUGCUUGGGGAGGAGCUUGCGUCCGAUUAGCUAGUUGGUGAGGUAACGGCCCACCAAGGCGAUGAUCGGUAGCUGAUUUGAGAGGAUGAUCAGCCACACUGGGACUGAGAUACGGCCCAGACUCCUACGGGAGGCAGCAGCAAGGAAUAUUGCGCAAUGGGCGAAAGCCUGACGCAGCGACACCGCGUGGGGGAUGAAGGCUUUCGGGUUGUAAACCCCUUUUCUCAGGGAAGA